AUGGAGCGUGCUGCCCACACCGACCCCUCGCGGCGCCCGAGGUCUGGCCACUCGGUUGUGGUCGAGACGUAGGAGAUGGAGCACCAGACCUUCCUCCUGCGUCGCCACGCCGUCCUGCUCGUCUGCACGGCGGAGCGCCACACGGCGAGCCCCAUGUCGGUGGGGCACGCUUUCGACACCCAGAUGCGCACGCCGGCGUACCUCCUGCAGGUCACGAGCCAUGACCCGGAAGACUUCCUCGUCCAUUUCGAGCUGCCGGUGCAUGGCGACAACGUCGUCCGCCUCGGCUCCAUCAACGUCGACGGCGUCUGCUUCAACAUCAAGCCCUGGCACGAAGAUGACCACGCCGUCCACCAAGACUUCAUGCUCCACGUCCGCGUCGUCAUCGAGAAGAUGCCUCUGCAGCUCUGGUCCAUCAAGGGGGCGGAGAAGGUGCUUGGCAACAAGUGCAUCAUCGACCGUCUCGACUCCAGGAUGCUCGAGCGCGGGCACACGAAGACAUUCGCAUGCUGGGUGUGG
RNAcentral lists this ribosomal RNA (519 nucleotides) under Triticum aestivum (bread wheat). RNAcentral describes it as "partial small subunit ribosomal RNA". The record is from RNAcentral. Lineage: Eukaryota; Viridiplantae; Streptophyta; Magnoliopsida; Poales; Poaceae.